GACGAACGCUGGCGGCGUGCUUAACACAUGCAAGUCGAACGGAAAGGCCCUGCUUUUGUGGGGUGCUCGAGUGGCGAACGGGUGAGUAACACGUGAGUAACCUGCCCUUGACUUUGGGAUAACUUCAGGAAACUGGGGCUAAUACCGGAUAGGAGCUCCUGCUGCAUGGUGGGGGUUGGAAAGUUUCGGCGGUUGGGGAUGGACUCGCGGCUUAUCAGCUUGUUGGUGGGGUAGUGGCUUACCAAGGCUUUGACGGGUAGCCGGCCUGAGAGGGUGACCGGCAACAGUGGGAAUGAGAUAAGGCCCAGACUCCUACGGGAGGCAGCAGGGGGGAAUAUGGCACAAUGGGCGGAAGCCUGAGGCAGCAACGCCGCGUGCGGGAUGAAGGCCUUCGGGUUGUAAACCGCUUUCGCCUGUGACGAAGCGUGAGUGACGGUAAUGGGUAAAGAAGCACCGGCUAACUACGUG
Molecule: ribosomal RNA, 468 nt
Filed under: uncultured bacterium
Lineage: Bacteria
Description: partial 16S ribosomal RNA
Rfam family: Bacterial small subunit ribosomal RNA
Source: RNAcentral